GAUGAACGCUAGCGGCAGGCUUAACACAUGCAAGUCGAGGGGCAGCGGGGGGCGCGCUUGCGCGUCCCGCCGGCGACCGGCGCACGGGUGAGUAACACGUAUGCAACCUGCCCCCGCCAGGGGUACAACCCUCCGAAAGGGGGGCUGAUACCGCGUACAUCCCCCGGGGGCAUCCCCGGGGGAGGAAAGCCCUACGGGGCGGGCGGGGAUGGGCAUGCGGCGCAUUAGGAAGACGGCGGUGUGACGGACCACCGUUCCGACGAUGCGUAGGGGUUCUGAGAGGAAGGCCCCCCACACUGGUACUGAGACACGGACCAG
This 318-nucleotide ribosomal RNA is filed under the name uncultured bacterium. RNAcentral's name for it is "partial 16S ribosomal RNA". It matches the Rfam family "Bacterial small subunit ribosomal RNA", at positions 28 to 334 of the family's 1533-position model. The record is from RNAcentral.